UGCGAAGCUCUGGACACUUGUCAGAC
This 26-nucleotide non-coding RNA is filed under the name Rattus norvegicus (Norway rat). The record is from RNAcentral. Lineage: Eukaryota; Metazoa; Chordata; Mammalia; Rodentia; Muridae.